Molecule: ribosomal RNA, 542 nt
Filed under: Naohidemyces vaccinii
Lineage: Eukaryota; Fungi; Basidiomycota; Pucciniomycetes; Pucciniales; Milesinaceae
Description: partial large subunit ribosomal RNA
Rfam family: Eukaryotic large subunit ribosomal RNA
Source: RNAcentral
UCCCCUAGUAACGGCGAGUGAAGAGGGAAAAGCCCAAAUUUGUAAUCUGGCUCUUUUUAUAAGGGUCCGAGUUGUAAUUUUGAGAACUGUUUUCCGUGCUGGACCAUGUAAAAGUCUGUUGAAAAACAGCAUCAUUGAGGGUGAAAAUCCCGUACAUGAUAUGGACUACCAGUGCAAUGUGAUACAGUCUCUAAGAGUCGAGUUGUUUGGGAAUGCAGCUCAAAGUGGGUGGUAAAUUCCAUCUAAGGCUAAAUAUAGGUGAGAGACCGAUAGCAAACAAGUACCGUGAGGGAAAGAUGAAAAGAACUUUGGAAAUAGAGUUAACAGUACGUGAAAUUGUUAAAAGGGAAACAUUUGACGUUAGACUUGUUAUUGUUAGUUCAGCUUUUAUUAUUAAAGUGUUUUCUAAUGAUUAACAGACCAGCAUCAAUCUUUGAGUGUUGGAAAAGGGUUUUGGAAAUGUGGCAACCUUGGUUGUGUUAUAGUCCAUUACUUUGAUACAGUGCUUAAGAUUGAGGAACGCGGUGAGCGCUUUAUUGUGC